Molecule: ribosomal RNA, 253 nt
Filed under: uncultured bacterium
Lineage: Bacteria
Description: partial 16S ribosomal RNA
Rfam family: Bacterial small subunit ribosomal RNA
Source: RNAcentral
CACGUAGGGGGCGAGCGUUGUCCGGAUUUAUUGGGCGUAAAGAGCGUGUAGGCGGUCCGGUAAGUCAGCUGUGAAAGUCAAGGGCUCAACCCUUGAAAGCCGGUUGAUACUGUCGGGCUAGAGUCCGGAAGAGGCGAGUGGAAUUCCCGGUGUAGCGGUGAAAUGCGCAGAUAUCGGGAGGAACACCAAUGGCGAAGGCAGCUCGCUGGGACGGUACUGACGCUGAGACGCGAAAGCGUGGGGAGCAAACAGG